RNAcentral lists this ribosomal RNA (330 nucleotides) under uncultured bacterium. RNAcentral's name for it is "bacterial SSU rRNA". It matches the Rfam family "Bacterial small subunit ribosomal RNA", at positions 568 to 898 of the family's 1533-position model. The record is from RNAcentral.
UCCGUAGGCGGUGCGGCAAGUCGGAAGUGAAAUCUCUGGGCUUAACCCAGAGGCUGCUUCCGAAACUGCCGUGCUAGAGUGCGAGAGAGGCGAGUGGAAUUGCGGGUGUAGCGGUGAAAUGCGUAGAUAUCCGCAGGAACAUCCGAGGCGAAGGCGGCUCGCUGGAUCGCAACUGACGCUGAGGGACGAAAGCUAGGGGAGCAAACAGGAUUAGAUACCCUGGUAGUCCUAGCCCUAAACCAUCAGGACUUGGGGUUUGCCCUGUACGGGGCAAGUCCCGUAGCUAACGCGUUAAGUCCUGCGCCUGGGGAGUACGGCCGCAAGGCUGAA